Non-coding RNA from Pelobates cultripes (western spadefoot toad), 401 nucleotides. The record is from the annotation of a GenBank genome assembly. NCBI's taxonomy places the organism in Eukaryota, Metazoa, Chordata, Amphibia, Anura, Pelobatidae.
CCGCACACAGAAAUAUACAUGUCCAUUAAAGUCCAAGAGAAAGAACUGCCACAUAUCCAGAUCGGCUGUCAUGGAUGCUGACACCCGAAUGAAAUGAUGCGUGACGCUACCCCGCUGGUCGCCCUGGAGAGAAACCUGUUGAAUACCUGCCCGACAGGCAUCACCCGGCAUGCGAAGUUGAGCCGAUCCACCAAUGACUGAAGCACCAGCAAUGUAACUUUCCUGGUUUCCCGGACCUCCACCACCGCUUGCCGGAGUACCAGCAACUUAUCACCAGGCAACCAACAGUCACCCUAGGAAAGACGAGCAAUUCUGAAGACAUUCGUGACCCAUACCAAAGUUCUCAACUCUAUGCGGCACACCUCUGAGCCUGCCGGCCCAACAUAAAGAAAUCAUCUAAG